GACCCGGCUGUGGUAGACAAGUCCGGCUCCAGAACCUGGACACCGCCCAGCCGGCCGCGGCAGGGGUC
RNAcentral lists this microRNA precursor (68 nucleotides) under Chlorocebus sabaeus (green monkey). Its description in RNAcentral is "miRNA (ENSCSAG00000027376.1)". The record is from RNAcentral. Lineage: Eukaryota; Metazoa; Chordata; Mammalia; Primates; Cercopithecidae.